This 497-nucleotide ribosomal RNA is filed under the name uncultured bacterium. RNAcentral's name for it is "partial 16S ribosomal RNA". It matches the Rfam family "Bacterial small subunit ribosomal RNA", at positions 28 to 507 of the family's 1533-position model. The record is from RNAcentral.
GACGAACGCUGGCGGCGUGCCUAAUACAUGCAAGUAGAACGCUGAAGCUUGGUGCUUGCACCGAGCGGAUGAGUUGCGAACGGGUGAGUAACGCGUAGGUAACCUGCCUGGUAGCGGGGGAUAACUAUUGGAAACGAUAGCUAAUACCGCAUAAGAGUAGAUGUUGCAUGACAUUUGCUUAAAAGGUGCAAUUGCAUCACUACCAGAUGGACCUGCGUUGUAUUAGCUAGUUGGUGAGGUAACGGCUCACCAAGGCAACGAUACAUAGCCGACCUGAGAGGGUGGUCGGCCACACUGGGACGGAGACACGGCCCAGACUCCUACGGGAGGCAGCAGUAGGGAAUCUGCGGCAAUGGACGGAAGUCUGACCGAGCAACGCCGCGUGAGUGAAGAAGGUUUUCGGAUCGUAAAGGUCUGUUGUAAGAGAAGAACGAGUGUGAGAGUGGAAAGUUCACACUGUGACGGUAUCUUACCAGAAAGGGACGGCUAACUACGUG